GUAUACGCGAGGACUACCGGGCUUAAUAUGCAUGAAUGAUCUGGAGACAGGUCAGCCGCAAGGCAUGUAUGAAGGUGCUGCAUGGUUGUCGUCAGCUCGUGCCGUGAGGUGUCGGCUUAAGUGCCAUAACGAGCGCAACCCUUUCUGCCAGUUACUAACAGGUGAUGCUGAGGACUCUGGCGGUACUGCCAUCGUAAGAUGUGAGGAAGGUGGGGAUGACGUCAAAUCAGCACGGCCCUUACGUCCGGGGCUACACACGUGUUACAAUGGGGAGUACAGAAGGCCGCUUGCCGGCGACGGCUGGCCAAUCCCGAAAGCUCCUCUCAGUUCGGACUGGAGUCUGCAACCCGACUCCACGAAGCUGGAUUCGCUAGUAAUCGCGCAUCAGCCACGGCGCGGUGAAUACGUUCCCGGGCCUUGUACACACCGCCCGUCAAGCCAUGAAAGCCGGGAGUACCUGAAGUGCGUAACCGCGAGGGGCGCCCUAGGGUAACACCGGUAAUUGGGGCGUCGACGCGGC
This 520-nucleotide ribosomal RNA is filed under the name uncultured bacterium. RNAcentral's name for it is "bacterial SSU rRNA". It matches the Rfam family "Bacterial small subunit ribosomal RNA", at positions 955 to 1492 of the family's 1533-position model. The record is from RNAcentral.